Molecule: long non-coding RNA, 4191 nt
Organism: Parus major (Great Tit)
Lineage: Eukaryota; Metazoa; Chordata; Aves; Passeriformes; Paridae
Exons: 2
Source: RefSeq, a predicted model, not a curated record
CGCUCCGGCGGCCGCCAGUGCGCUGCUCUCCGCCGGCUCGGCCGCGCUGAGGGCAGGGCACUGGCAGCCUCACGCCUGGGGAUGGGCCCUGUUUGGUGCCCCGCAAAUCGCUUCUGCGAGCCGCCAUGGUGCUUGCGAGGACGGACGGAGCUGAUGGGGCGGUCCGGGCCCCCGGCGGGCAGAGGGGACCGAGGUGCUGGGUCUCGCUUCUGUGCAGGAGCGCCUGCGCCUGGGCGCCGGCUGCGAGUCCUGCUGUAAAACGUCUUAAAAGUGAACUUUUCAAGGCCCUUUUCACAAGUCACGCUGAAAUGAGUGUUUCUUGCUGCUUAAAGGGAAAAUUAUACCUGUGGUAGUACAGCUGCUACUCGUAGUAGAGCUGUGGAUACAGAUAGGCCUGCAGCCUUUUACGUGCCCAAGGUAAAGGCUCCUGCUGAAUUUUAGGAGAAAACGAUCCAAAUGUGUGCUUGGAUUCCCUGAAAAAGUUUGUUAAGACUCAAACUUAGGCAAGCAAAAUUAUUAAAUACCAUUUAAAUAUUAGUAAGUAUACUGCAAGUCGUAGUUUCUGUGCUGGGUGUUAGUAGUAAUUAUUAUAACUUCAAAGAGAGGUAUGCUCUCCUGUAAACACCAGAAAAAGACUAGUGCUUAUGAAGAGAAUUGACCAUGCAGGCAACCAAGAAAUCGAAGUACUCCCAUUGAUUGUGAUUUAGUUGCAUUCAUGAGCUACCUACAGGCUACUGGUGUCCUAGUCCUGAAGUUUCCAUCUGAAAAAUGAUGGAUUAAGAGCUGAAUUUCUUAUUUUUAUAGAUUUUAGGUUCUGUUCUCUUGCUUGCUUUCUUAAAAGCUUUAGGAUCACAUUGGAGUUUUUUUCAGCAUCUUAGCUAGAAACUUUACAGUUUAUUGGAAGAGUACAAAAUCUAGAACCUCAGUGAAGAGCAAAUAGCAUGGGUAUGUAAGUAGGAUCAGUCAUUUAGGUUUCUGAUUGAAAAUGCUUGAAGAACCCUCUCUUGAUCUUCUAUGAAUUUUGGUGAGGUUUUUUUGGAACCAGAAGCACUCCUAAGAACAGCUGUUUCUAAUACUAUGGCCUAAAUAUAAGCGUUUGAAACUUAUUAAUUACUUCACAGUAAUAGGAAAUGCAGUGAACAUAAGCCAAAUUACAGAUUCUAUUCCUCAUACUGACACCAAAAAAUAAUAUGUGAAAUUGGAAGAGCAUUCUUUUAACAAGGAGUGUUAUUUAAAGAUACUUUAUUUUCUUUAGCUCUGUCGAAGAAUGUAGUAGGAGAUGUGCAUGUUUGGGAGGAAAGAUGGUGUUCUUUCAAUCUGAUAUCCACUUUAAAUGCCCAUAAGGAUAUAAUUUUCUUGAAACAUAGAAAAGGUAAUUUUCCCCUAUCUUUCCAAAUAUGAUAAUUAUGGCUUUUUCUUUAGAAAUAGAUUCAAAAGAAAAUAACUACCAUUACUACUGCUUCUUUAGAAACAAUCAAUAGUGCUUCUUUAAAAAAAAACAAACAACAUUUUCCUGUUUUUGUUAUGGCACAAUUUCCAGUGAAGGUGUUUUUAAAUACCUUAAUACUGCUAUCUAUAACUUACAUCUCUGUUCAUUUUACUUGUUCACUAGUAUAUGUUCUUGAUUUUUUUUUUUUUUUAGUAAGUCAAAUGACAGUUCAGUCUACAAUGCACAGAACAAUAGGUUUCCUAACCUAUUGUUGGAAAUAGGUUCUAAUAUUGUUCUGCAAUAUGAAGUUAUCAGUCUAUGGACCAAACUACAAACAUCUCAUGUACAUAUUAUGUAUACAUUGGAUAUAUGCUGGAGGAAUGUUCACAGGAAGUAGUUCCUGUGUGCUCGCUUUGUUCUUAGAUGUUUAUGUGGUAUCUGUAUGAGGCAGCUGCUCCUGAUUUUUGCCUUGAGGUUGGUUUCUAGUCUGUCUAUUAUAUAAACAAAGUUUCCUUCUGAGAAGAAAGUAAAGAGGAAAACAACUAUGGGAAAAAACAAACAAUGGUGAAUGACAAUUUGGGAGGAAAACUAAGAGGACCUGCAACCUAUUGGGGGCAAAUAAGGACAGGGAGACAGAGCAAAACACCUGGCAGAGGACUUCAGUAAUGAUCGUCCUUCCUUGUAGAUAGUCUUUGGCAGAGCUGGUGUAGGAUAAUAACUAAUGGACCUUUGUUCCAUUGUUUUUUUGUUUUGUUUUACCUGGUAGUGUGUGAUAUUAUGUGUCUUCUAUUUAAGAAGAUGAUUGCAUAGUGUGAUUUACAGCUAAGUUCAGAGUUAAAAUAUCAUUCUUUAUUCUCCACAGAGCUUAAAACGACUAUGUUUUGAGAAUAGAUAAUUAGAGUAUGAUAUUAAUGAGGAGUCAAUUCAUGCACAAAGUGCAAAUUUUCAUUUGGUUUUUAUGGCCUUACGUGCAGCUGUCGUUUUACUUUAUCACCCCAUUUCUUCAUAGACAAAAUCUCUGGUCCAUGUUGCUUUCUGUAGAAAAAUUAAUGAAAAGACCUCUAGCACUCAUAUGUAUUUUCCAAUCUAUUGAUUGUAGAUGCUAACGUUGGCAGCUAUGCUAAAACUAGAGUCUCGUUUGCCACCAAUUCCAGUGCUUGUUAGAAUUGUCUAAUGCUUUUAAUCCCACUUCAUUCAGUUUGGUGCAUGUACUUCUAGAAGUGUUUUUCAGUUGUUUAAUCUAUGUCAUGUUUUGGGUUUUUUGGGGUGUUUUUGGUUUUUUUGGGGUUUUUUUUGGGUUUUUUUGUGUAUGUGGAAUUCAGCUCUUCUUAUUUGACAUUUUUUCAUUGAAAGAAAAACUUGAUCUUGGUUCCACUUAACUUGGUCUAAUAAACACCUCCACAGGAUACCGUUGUUACCUCAUAAAAAGGGAGAACCCUCAAUUUAUGUUCUAAUUUAUACCCAUAGGUUUUAAUGUACUUUCUGAAAGUGCUUGUAUUGUGAAACAAACCACGAUAGCUUCAAUAUGUAUUAAACAAACAAAAAAGGAAUAGUUGCUCUAUGCAUCGCUGUUAAACAUUAACUGUUUUGCCACUUCACGAGACGGUAAGUCACCCUAAGUAUUUUUUCUCUAAAAGUGUACAUAAGAUUCUUUGAUACCACAACAAUAUGAAGAAUGUGACAUCAGUAGAAGUAAUAGAAUGAUUAUACAUAGCAGAAUACCAAUUAAAAAGGGCAGGCAUUAUUUUCCUUCUGUGUCUACAGAUUUUUUGCUCAUAAUUACAGAAGUCAUUGAAGCAAAUUAAUCUAGUUUUCUGUACUGUUAUUAUACCUGAUAUAUGUUUCUAUAAAAUACUUAUUUCCUUGUUGAAGUACUUAAAAAAAAAAAAAAGGAAAAGUGCACUGCUACAGUAUAUUGAGAAUGUUGCUUUAUACUCUUAGGGCCUGAUCUAUGAACCAUAGGAAGUCUACCAAUUUUAAUGGACUUGGGCCCCUUCUAUGGUUCUUAGCUGCAUGUUUAUGUAUUUUCCGUAACAAGAUGUAAAAGAUUGUUGAAAAUGAUGAGUUAUUUAAAAAUCAAUUUCUGCAACUGAGAUGGCAACAUGCCCAAAGUGUUCUUACCCUACUACUUAACUUUCCUGUAGUUUCACAUGGUGAGAUUUCUGGAGCUUGGAUUUGCUCUUUUAAGUCCUCUGUAGUCAGACACAGAAACCUACAUGAAAAUACCUUUCUGUUUUCAAAUGCAGUAAUUUUAAGUUAUAAUUAUUUAAUUUAUUUAAAGUAAUUUCCCCUCUUUGUCUAUAUUUGUUAAAACUGCAUAAACUACUGGAUACUGCUUUUUCCCCAAGGGAUUUCAGCUUCAUUCACUAUAUGGAAAAAAAUCCUGUAGUCAUGUGAUGAAUGAGAUUUUUUUCUGAAAGACUCAUGCCUUAUUUGUUGCAGAAUUUGGAAUACAUACCAUUUGAAUAAAGCAGGAAGUGUGGAAAGAAAACGUAAAUUUUCUUUAAGAUAAUUGGACUGCUACUCAAUGAAUAUGGAUUCUGUCCUUGCCUCUGUGGACUUUUCAUCCAGAAGAAUUUCAAAUUGAAAAGUACAAGGCUAGAACUGGAUCCAGUAUUAUGCUUUAUUGCUUUCUAUCAAAAUCUCUGAAAGAGGAACAAAUUCUGCCUAAGAAUGAAUUGUGAAAGAGAGAACAGAUUCCCAUAAACUCUCUGAUUUAUCCAGUACCUAACAACUGGCAAUAUAAACUUAAAUUUUUAGAA